UGCCAAAGGAGAAGUACAGUCACGCCGUGGUUGAACUAGCAAUAAAACAUUUCUGCACAGUAGGGCUCAACAUUCAUGAUCUCCUGCCGAAACAGAAUAGCCAUAGUUCUUGUCCUGAGGUGUGACUGGUAAUUUGUUCGUUGUCGACUGAAAUUAUGCAACGUUUGGUUUUCUGACACAGCUUGUUGUCCCUGAGAGCACACAUCCAUUUCUGAGCAGCACAAGAAUGGCCAUCGUCUCUGCAGGGUUGCGUUUUGGAGUAUCAGUCCAUGAGUGCCAAGAAGUUGUCCUUACCGGUGGACAAAUUAAUAGAACCAAGGUCUACGAGAGUGGAUAGAAUGCAGCGGAGACGGUCGAUGGGAUGAACCAUACGCUCAUGUGCAGAAAAUAAAAUUCCCUGCCGUGUUCGCCCCGUCCUCGAUCAAGCUCCUGGCAUUGACAUGGAAGUAGCAUGGUAUGAUUUGGCAGAAGGUUAACGCCCACUUUGACAUGUCUUUCUCCCACUAAGUCGGGUCACAUUGGCAUACCACACAAAAGUCUCACGUUCCGAAUCGAGGGAACCAUACGUACAUGCAAAUCUGUACCGUGACCAGCGACGUAAAUAGGUUUAAAAAAUCGUGCGUCUGCACUAGCGGAAGGUGGAUCCAACUUAAAGAGUUGCUAACAUUCCAAAUCUUAGCAAAGCUGGAUGAAGAUGUAUACUACGAC
This 708-nucleotide long non-coding RNA is filed under the name Physcomitrium patens. Its description in RNAcentral is "long non-coding RNA (PPAT_LNC007670)". Lineage: Eukaryota; Viridiplantae; Streptophyta; Bryopsida; Funariales; Funariaceae. The record is from RNAcentral.